GUUGAUCCUGCCAGUAGUCAUAUGCUUGUCUCAAAGAUUAAGCCAUGCAUGUCUCAGUACAAGCCGAAUUAAGGUGAAACCGCGAAAGGCUCAUUAAAUCAGUUAUGGUUCCUUAGAUCGUACCCACAUUUACUUGGAUAACUGUGGUAAUUCUAGAGCUAAUACAUGCAAACAGAGCUCCGACCGGAGACGGAAGGAGCGCUUUUAUUAGAUCAAAACUAAUCGGCGGCGGGUUCGCCCGUUCGUCGUACACCUUGGUGAAUCUGAAUAACUUUCUGCUGAUCGCAUGGUCUCGCACCGGCGACGCAUCUUUCAAAUGUCUGCCUUAUCAACUGUCGAUGGUAGGUUCUGCGCCUACCAUGGUUGUAACGGGUAACGGGGAAUCAGGGUUCGAUUCCGGAGAGGGAGCCUGAGAAACGGCUACCACAUCCAAGGAAGGCAGCAGGCGCGCAAAUUACCCACUCCCGGCACGGGGAGGUAGUGACGAAAAAUAACGAUACGGGACUCAUCCGAGGCCCCGUAAUCGGAAUGAGUACACUCUAAACCCUUUAACGAGGAUCAAUUGGAGGGCAAGUCUGGUGCCAGCAGCCGCGGUAAUUCCAGCUCCAAUAGCGUAUAUUAAAGUGU
This 627-nucleotide ribosomal RNA is filed under the name Stenelmis sp. MNCN-FC-D02. RNAcentral's name for it is "SSU rRNA". It matches the Rfam family "Eukaryotic small subunit ribosomal RNA", at positions 7 to 613 of the family's 1831-position model. The record is from RNAcentral. Lineage: Eukaryota; Metazoa; Arthropoda; Insecta; Coleoptera; Elmidae.